Molecule: signal recognition particle RNA, 98 nt
Filed under: Bradymonadales bacterium
Lineage: Bacteria; Deltaproteobacteria; Bradymonadales
Description: signal recognition particle sRNA small type
Rfam family: Bacterial small signal recognition particle RNA
About the family: The signal recognition particle (SRP) is a universally conserved ribonucleoprotein involved in the co-translational targeting of proteins to membranes. Archaeal SRP consists of a 7S RNA and homologues of the eukaryotic SRP19 and SRP54 proteins. In most bacteria, the SRP consists of a 4.5S RNA and the Ffh protein (a homologue of the eukaryotic SRP54 protein).
Source: RNAcentral
GGUCGGACUCCGCCCAAGACAAGAGGGCUAACUCCGCCAGGUUCGGAAGAAAGCAACGGUAACCUUAUCUUGUUUGUGGCGCGGAUGGCUCGGCCGCC